CCUACGGGAGGCAGCAGUGAGGAAUAUUGGUCAAUGGACGAGAGUCUGAACCAGCCAAGUAGCGUGAAGGAUGACUGCCCUAUGGGUUGUAAACUUCUUUUAUAUGGGAAUAAAAUGUUCCACGUGUGGGAUUUUGUAUGUACCAUAUGAAUAAGGAUCGGCGAACUACGUGCCAGCAGCCGCGGUAAUACGGAGGAUCCGAGCGUUAACCGGUUUUAUUGGGUUUAAAGGGAGCGUAGGUGGAUGGUUAAGUCAGUUGUGAAAGUUUGCGGCUCAACCGUAAAAUUGCAGUUGAAACUGGCAGUCUUGAGGACAGUAGAGGUGGGCGGAAUUCGUGGUGUAGCGGUGAAAUGCUUAGAUAUCACGAAGAACUCCGAUUGCGAAGGCAGUUCACUGGACUGCAACUGACACUGAGGCUCGAAAGUGUGGGUAUCAAACAGGAUUAGAUACCCCUGUAGU
RNAcentral lists this ribosomal RNA (459 nucleotides) under uncultured bacterium. Its description in RNAcentral is "partial 16S ribosomal RNA". It matches the Rfam family "Bacterial small subunit ribosomal RNA", at positions 338 to 794 of the family's 1533-position model. The record is from RNAcentral.